UAUUCAUUCUAUGAUGAAUGAUUGAGCAGAAGAGUUCUUGAAGACUAUAUUCAUCACCCAAGACUGAAUAUAUCUA
Drosophila yakuba is the source of this 76-nucleotide small nucleolar RNA. RefSeq annotates it as small nucleolar RNA CD11. Lineage: Eukaryota; Metazoa; Arthropoda; Insecta; Diptera; Drosophilidae. The transcript has a single exon. The record is from RefSeq and is a predicted model, not a curated record.